This 259-nucleotide unclassified non-coding RNA is filed under the name fungal sp. RNAcentral's name for it is "partial internal transcribed spacer region". The stretch from base 1 to 46 matches the Rfam family "Eukaryotic small subunit ribosomal RNA", at positions 1786 to 1831 of the family's 1831-position model. The record is from RNAcentral. Lineage: Eukaryota; Fungi.
AAGUCGUAACAAGGUUUCCGUAGGUGAACCUGCGGAAGGAUCAUUAUCCAUUUUGAAUACAAGCAAGCCAGGCUGGUUGAGCUAGGUACCCCCUAGCUCCCGCCUAGUUUCUGUAUUUUAUACCCUUGUCUUUUGCGCACAUUUGUUUCCUCGGCAGGCUUGCCUGCCGGCUGGACAACCUUAAAACCUUUUUAAUUUUCAAUCAGCGUCUGAAAUAAUUUAAUAAUUACAACUUUCAACAACGGAUCUCUUGGUUCUG